UGACACAGAAAUGACAUUCAACAUCAUCACAGAAUAUUAGUGUUGGACUUUAAAAGAUCAGAGAUGUCUGAUACUAUUUAUGACAAUGUCAUUGGGACUGAGACUGAGGGAAUCAACAAAGAGAGAGUGGAGAUGAUGGUGGUUAUCUAUGAGAGUGCCGAUUGUGUGAGAGAUCAUAGGACAGAGACAAACACACACCAACCACUUCAGCAGACAGGAUCUUGUUAAGAAAAUAUCUGCUAAUGUCUGGAUUGGUCUGACUGACAGUGAUGAGGAGGGCAGGUGGAAAUGGGUUGAUGGCAGCACACUGACCUCUGUGUUCUGGAGGUCUGGAGACCCCGUGGAUAUAGAAGAGAGAACUGUGUUUUGUCUUCUACAUCAGGAUGGGCUGAUUAUCCAUGUAAUUAUGUACAUCGAUGGAUCUGUGAGAGAAACACUUUAAAAUGAUUAAAUUACAUAUAAAUCACAUUUUUUAUGCUGUAAAUUAUCAACAGAUGAAAAGGGUUUGGAUUUGUUCACGGUAAUUCAAAACAUGUCUAGUUAAACUAUAAUAGAUAAAUAGAUCUGUUCUAUUCUGUUCUAUUAAUACUUUUUUAUUUAUAUUUAAUUACUAUCUUUUUGUCCUGUGUUUGAAUGUUGGUAUCUGAUGUUGUCCACCAUUGUAAGGACAGGAAGUAGGAUGCUGUGAUGAUUUUACAUUUAACCCUUUAGCAGAUGCUUUUGUCAACUGAGGGAAAGCACAAAUCCAAUCAUUAGGCCUGGGGGACAUACUCAUGCAUUUUUGUCCCAGACCCUACCAAUAAAUGUUAAAGAGCAAGUGUUGGAAUAGUUUGUUUGGUUGCAUCUGUGUUAUUGCUGAGAAUAUAGAGACACUUUCUGUAGAUCAUGCCUGUAGACAUCGGAAAGUGACAGGAAGAUGGUGCUGCCCUUUAUAUGUCUUUCUUAUUUCAGCCACUUCCUCCUGUAACUGCUUCAGUAUCUCCAUCCACUCACCUCUCUUUGAGCAGAAACCAAUAUUUAACACUUACUUCAACCAGUGCUGAGAGGGCCAUCACAUCUGAGGUGCUUCAGUGUGCACUUCAUUCACUUUAACACCUUUACCACAUUGCAUUCUGUAUUACAGCUUUUGCUCUGUCUUGUAACAUUUCACCAAGCCGACCGUACACUUUCAGUACACGUCUGCAGGGCAACACUUUAAAAUGGGGAGCACUUAUUCACUAUUUACUACGACUUUUCCCUCAAUAAAUUCCUAAUUUGCUGCUUAUUAAUAGGUAGUUGUUAAGUUUAGGUAUUGGGUAGGAUUAGGGAAGUAGAAUAAGGUCAUAUAGAAUAAGGCAUUAAUAUGUACUUAAUUAACCUGCUGAUGCUAAUAUUGCACUGCUGUUAACUGAGGACAUCCUGACAUAUGCAUGCACAAAUAUGCUGUGCUAGACGUCUUAUUCAAGGAAAUGUUUCUUAGUGACAGAUAUCACUUAUUAGUUUCAUUGCCUCUAACAGUGUUUUCCUUGAAGGUGCAUUUUUUUUUAAAGGCACAGUAAUAUGAUUACCUUAAUCAAGUCAUUUGUAGCUUCCUUAGACAGAAAAAUCUAAACAUGAUACAAUGAGCAUUUACAACCUGAGACAGGAAAAACACAACUUUGUUUCCUAGCCAACUAGGCUAGCCAUACUUAACACUAUCACAACCUAACGUUCAUUAAAGUCUUCAGGAUCCAAAGCACAGUUAAGUGAGUUUGAUCAGGGUUUUAGCUAAACUCAAUGGCCUUUCAGAACCGAAUCUGAGGAACUCUGCUAUAAAGUGAUAAUGUAACGAAUGCGUUACUUCCAGUUUUUCAACUGUAAAAAUAGUCAUGCCCUUCUCUAGAUAUUUUGCAAAGUAUUGCCA
Long non-coding RNA from Cyprinus carpio (common carp), 1882 nucleotides. RefSeq lists it as uncharacterized. Lineage: Eukaryota; Metazoa; Chordata; Actinopteri; Cypriniformes; Cyprinidae. The record is from RefSeq and is a predicted model, not a curated record.